CCAGACUCCUACGGGAGGCAGCAGUGAGGAAUAUUGGUCAAUGGGCGCUAGCCUGAACCAGCCAAGUAGCGUGAAGGAUGACUGCCCUAUGGGUUGUAAACUUCUUUUAUAUGGGAAUAAAGUGCAGUAUGUAUACUGCUUUGCAUGUACCUUAUGAAUAAGGAUCGGCUAACUCCGUGCCAGCAGCCGCGGUAAUACGGAGGAUGCGAGCGUUAUCCGGAUUUAUUGGGUUUAAAGGGUGCGCAGGCGGAUUUUUAAGUCAGCGGUCAAAUCGUGGGGCUCAACCCCAUCCAGCCGUUGAAACUGGGGAUCUAGAGUGUGCGAGAGGUAUGCGGAAUGCGUGGUGUAGCGGUGAAAUGCAUAGAUAUCACGCAGAACCCCGAUUGCGAAGGCAGCAUACCGGUGCACAACUGACGCUCAGGCACGAAAGCGUGGGUAUCGAACAGGAUUAGAUACCCUAGUAGA
RNAcentral lists this ribosomal RNA (465 nucleotides) under uncultured bacterium. RNAcentral describes it as "bacterial SSU rRNA". It matches the Rfam family "Bacterial small subunit ribosomal RNA", at positions 331 to 794 of the family's 1533-position model. The record is from RNAcentral.